Molecule: ribosomal RNA, 520 nt
Filed under: Bolitoglossa nigrescens
Lineage: Eukaryota; Metazoa; Chordata; Amphibia; Caudata; Plethodontidae
Description: partial 16S large subunit ribosomal RNA
Rfam family: Bacterial large subunit ribosomal RNA
Source: RNAcentral
CGCCUUUUGAAAUAUAAAUAUAAAAGGUCCUGCCUGCCCAAUGACUAGUUUUAAUGGCCGCGGUAUUAUGACCGUGCAAAGGUAGCGUAAUCAUUUGUCUUCUAAAUAAAGACCAGUAUGAACGGCUAGACGAAAGCCUUACUGUCUCCCUAGUCCAGUCAAUGAAAUUGAUUUCCCCGUGCAGAAGCGGGGAUAAAAAUAUAAGACGAGAAGACCCUGCGGAGCUUUAAACUCUAAUUAAUAGUUAUAUAUAUAUAUAUUUAAUAACCAGUUUUAGGUUGGGGCGACCAUGAGGCAUAACACAACCCUCACGAUAAUUACAAAGAAAGACACUUCAAACAACUAACAUUAGUAUAUUGACCCAACAAUUGAUCAACGAACCAAGUUACCCCAGGGAUAACAGCGCAAUCCGCUCAAAAAGUCCAUAUUAACGAGCAGGUUUACGACCUCGAUGUUGGAUCAGGACACCCAAAUAGUGCAACAGCCAUUAAAGGUUCGUUUGUUCAACGAUUAAAGUCCU